AUUGAACGCUGGCGGAAUGCUUUACACAUGCAAGUCGAACGGCAGCACGGACUUCGGUCUGGUGGCGAGUGGCGAACGGGUGAGUAAUGUAUCGGAACGUGCCCAGUCGUGGGGGAUAACGUAGUGAAAAUUACGCUAAUACCGCAUACGAUCUAUGGAAGAAAGCGGGGGAUCGCAAGACCUCGCGCGAUUGGAGCGGCCGAUAUCAGAUUAGGUAGUUGGUGGGGUAAAGGCCCACCACGCCAACGAUAUGUAGAUGGUCUGAGAGGACGACCAGUCAAACUGGAACUGAGACACGGUCCAGACUCCUACGCGAGGCAGCAGUGGGGAAUUUUGGACAAUGGGCGAAAGCGUGAUCCAUGCAUUCCGCGUGCAGGAUGAAGGCCCUCCGGUUGUAAACUGCUUUUGUACAGAACGAAAAGGUUUCUACUAAUACUAGGAGCUCAUGACGGUACUGUAAGAAUAAGCACCGGCUAACUACGUGCCAGCCGCCGCAGUAA
This 500-nucleotide ribosomal RNA is filed under the name uncultured bacterium. RNAcentral describes it as "partial 16S ribosomal RNA". It matches the Rfam family "Bacterial small subunit ribosomal RNA", at positions 30 to 523 of the family's 1533-position model. The record is from RNAcentral.